GGUGAACGCUGGCGGCGUGCCUAACACAUGCAAGUCGAGCGGUGCAGUUUGAAGCUUCGGUGGAAAGCUGCAUAGCGGCGGACGGGUGAGGAAAACGUAGGAACGUGCCCCUUGGAGUUGGAUAGCCACGGGAAACUGUGGGUAAACCGACAUAGACUCGAGAGAGUAAAGGCCGAAAGGUGCCAAGGGAGCGGCCUGCGGCCCACUCAGGUAGUUGGUAGUGUAAAGGACUACCAAGCCGACGACGGGUAGCCGGUCUGAGAGGAUGGCCGGCCACAAGGGCACUGAGAGACGGGCCCUACUCCUACGGGAGGCAGCAGUGGGGGAUUUUGGACAAUGGGCGAAAGCCUGAUCCAGCGACGCCGCGUGGAGGACGAAGCCCUUCGGGGUGUAAACUCCUUUUCUCAGGGAAAAGGAUGAUGGGUACCUGAGGAAUAAGCCCCGGCUAACUACGUG
RNAcentral lists this ribosomal RNA (456 nucleotides) under uncultured bacterium. Its description in RNAcentral is "bacterial SSU rRNA". It matches the Rfam family "Bacterial small subunit ribosomal RNA", at positions 28 to 507 of the family's 1533-position model. The record is from RNAcentral.